RNAcentral lists this ribosomal RNA (115 nucleotides) under Cutaneotrichosporon oleaginosum. The record is from RNAcentral. Lineage: Eukaryota; Fungi; Basidiomycota; Tremellomycetes; Trichosporonales; Trichosporonaceae.
AUCUACCGCCAUAGAACUGAGAAGAUCCUGUAUCCCGUCCGAUCCACGAAGUCAAGCUCUGUACCGCUCGGUUAGUACCAUGGUGGGAAUUUACUUGGGAACGGAGUCAUAGUUC